Molecule: long non-coding RNA, 433 nt
Organism: Ictalurus punctatus (channel catfish)
Lineage: Eukaryota; Metazoa; Chordata; Actinopteri; Siluriformes; Ictaluridae
Source: Ensembl
GUUCUGUAGGAGUUCUGUACGAGUUCUGUCUGUCAGAGUUCUGCAGGGGUUCUGUAGGAGUUCUGUCUGAGUUCUGUCUGUUAGAGUUCUGCAGAGGUUCUGUAGGAGUUCUGUCUGAAUUCUGUCUGUUAGAGUUCUGCUUGGGUUCUGUAGGAGUUCUGCAGGAGUUCUGUCAGAGUUCUGUAGGAGUUCUGUACGAGUUCUGUCUGUCAGAGUUCUGCAGGGGUUCUGUAGGAAUUCUGUCUGUCAGGGUUCUGCAGGAGUUCUGCAGGAGUUCUGUAGGAGUUCUGUAGGAAUUGUGUCUGUCUGAGUUGUAUAUGAGGUGUGUAGUAGUUUAGUUCAGCUCCGUAGGAGUUCCGAAGGAGUUUACAGCUACACUCCCAUAACUUUAUUGAUUCAUGGAUGUUCCAAAACAUUAAAUGCCCCAAUAAAU